AAGUAUCUCAAAAGCUCUUAUAUAUUAUAUAUAUAAUAUAUGGGACUUUUGGACAAUUGGGAGUUGCCGGUCACUGAUGCAAGUGAUGGGCUCUUCUGAAAAGUAUUAGUUGAGGAGCUAUGCACUCUAUUGGUGUGAUAAAGUAUCUAUGCCAGGAGAAGCAUUAUUGCCUCUGCUUUCUAACAGUCCUUAUUGGACAAGAUGAUGA
Molecule: unclassified non-coding RNA, 208 nt
Filed under: uncultured Amanita
Lineage: Eukaryota; Fungi; Basidiomycota; Agaricomycetes; Agaricales; Amanitaceae
Description: sequence contains ITS2
Source: RNAcentral